Small nucleolar RNA from Ochlerotatus camptorhynchus, 207 nucleotides. RefSeq annotates it as small nucleolar RNA U3. The record is from RefSeq and is a predicted model, not a curated record. NCBI's taxonomy places the organism in Eukaryota, Metazoa, Arthropoda, Insecta, Diptera, Culicidae. The transcript has a single exon.
AAGACUGUGCUUCACAGGAUCAUUUCUGUAGGCAAGUUUUCACCACAAGUUUUUUCCGAAAGGAAAAGAUUUCCACCCACGAUGAGGAGACGCAGUGUCCAGCCUGGAGCGUGAAACUUGGUCGAGAUUUGGUCUAUCUGUUUCAGAUAGAUCGCUCUUCCUCUGAAGAUCGGCUCUUUCGCAAGGUUUGGACGCAUUCUGAGUGGU